Molecule: long non-coding RNA, 318 nt
Filed under: Homo sapiens (human)
Lineage: Eukaryota; Metazoa; Chordata; Mammalia; Primates; Hominidae
Description: HSALNT0323869
Source: RNAcentral
UGAUAGUGAGUGAGUUCUCACGAGAUCUGCUGGUUUAAAAGUGUGUAGCACCUCUCCCUUCACUCUCUUUCUCCUGUUUGGCCGUGUACCAAGUUCCUGCCUGUCUUCUGUCUUCACCCGUGACUUGCCUCAAGUAGUUGGCUCCUUUCCCACCGGCUACUUUGUAACUGCGAAUAUGACAACAUGACGGUGAUUCACAGAUGCCAAAAUAUGACGAGCAGAGCAAAUCUGUGUUCCAGAUAUGAUAAGGUCCCAUCUUCUUAGGAAGUUUUAAACAACUGUCAAAAGUAUGCACAAUCAAAAUCAAGAAUCAAAUCU